UAAUCUUCAUGUUUGAUAUUUCCCUUGCCUUAUAUGCGUGUUUUUAACGACACGGAAAAUCAGAAUCAAGCAGUAUUUAUAUUUAGUGUUUUUAUAAAUUUAGAAACACGUCAGAGGGAAUUCCCCAGUUGUGAUAAAAAUGCGAGAGUUCUGUGCAUUCCGAUAAAUCUAUUUCUGUCAUAUAAGAACUGAAGUGGAGUUUUACUUAUAUGCCACCGUUAUUAAACUGAUAUUUGAUAUUGUACUUCCAUAAAAAAAAAUAGAGAACUAUUUAGGUUUAAUAUACGUUCUUACUACAGGGUUUGUUAAGGUAAUUAUGCGCAUGCGUAUAGUUUUCUUGACUUCAAGGGGUACUAGGUUAAAUGGUUGCUCUGGAUUCCCC
This 382-nucleotide long non-coding RNA is filed under the name Mytilus galloprovincialis (Mediterranean mussel). Lineage: Eukaryota; Metazoa; Mollusca; Bivalvia; Mytilida; Mytilidae. The record is from RNAcentral.